This 897-nucleotide ribosomal RNA is filed under the name human gut metagenome. RNAcentral describes it as "bacterial SSU rRNA". It matches the Rfam family "Bacterial small subunit ribosomal RNA", at positions 8 to 896 of the family's 1533-position model. The record is from RNAcentral. RNAcentral also lists the same sequence under 1 other name.
AGAGUUUGAUCCUGGCUCAGGAUGAACGCUAGCGACAGGCUUAACACAUGCAAGUCGAGGGGCAGCAUGAUUUGUAGCAAUACAGAUUGAUGGCGACCGGCGCACGGGUGAGUAACGCGUAUGCAACUUACCUAUCAGAGGGGGAUAGCCCGGCGAAAGUCGGAUUAAUACCCCAUAAAACAGGGGUCCCGCAUGGGAAUAUUUGUUAAAGAUUCAUCGCUGAUAGAUAGGCAUGCGUUCCAUUAGGCAGUUGGCGGGGUAACGGCCCACCAAACCGACGAUGGAUAGGGGUUCUGAGAGGAAGGUCCCCCACAUUGGUACUGAGACACGGACCAAACUCCUACGGGAGGCAGCAGUGAGGAAUAUUGGUCAAUGGCCGAGAGGCUGAACCAGCCAAGUCGCGUGAAGGAAGAAGGAUCUAUGGUUUGUAAACUUCUUUUAUAGGGGAAUAAAGUGGAGGACGUGUCCUUUUUUGUAUGUACCCUAUGAAUAAGCAUCGGCUAACUCCGUGCCAGCAGCCGCGGUAAUACGGAGGAUGCGAGCGUUAUCCGGAUUUAUUGGGUUUAAAGGGUGCGUAGGUGGUGAUUUAAGUCAGCGGUGAAAGUUUGUGGCUCAACCAUAAAAUUGCCGUUGAAACUGGGUUACUUGAGUGUGUUUGAGGUAGGCGGAAUGCGUGGUGUAGCGGUGAAAUGCAUAGAUAUCACGCAGAACUCCGAUUGCGAAGGCAGCUUACUAAACCAUAACUGACACUGAAGCACGAAAGCGUGGGGAUCAAACAGGAUUAGAUACCCUGGUAGUCCACGCAGUAAACGAUGAUUACUAGGAGUUUGCGAUACAAUGUAAGCUCUACAGCGAAAGCGUUAAGUAAUCCACCUGGGGAGUACGCCGGCAACGGUG